AUCCUCGCUUUGGUAGCAUGUAUACUAACCCUGGAGUGAUACAGAGGAGAUUAGCAUGGCCCCUGUGCAGGGAUGACACACACAUUGGUGAAACAUUCCAUAGUUUU
Peromyscus maniculatus bairdii (prairie deer mouse) is the source of this 107-nucleotide small nuclear RNA. NCBI's taxonomy places the organism in Eukaryota, Metazoa, Chordata, Mammalia, Rodentia, Cricetidae. The record is from Ensembl.